GUGCUCGCUUCGGCAGCACAUACACUAACAUUGGAACGAUACAGAGAAGAUUUGCAUGGCCCCUGCGCAAGGAUGACACGCAAAUCUGUUAAGUUCCAUAUUUUG
This is a small nuclear RNA of Rattus norvegicus (Norway rat), 105 nucleotides long. The record is from Ensembl. Lineage: Eukaryota; Metazoa; Chordata; Mammalia; Rodentia; Muridae.